This 391-nucleotide ribosomal RNA is filed under the name uncultured bacterium. Its description in RNAcentral is "partial 16S ribosomal RNA". It matches the Rfam family "Bacterial small subunit ribosomal RNA", at positions 523 to 918 of the family's 1533-position model. The record is from RNAcentral.
AUACGUAGGUGACAAGCGUUAUCCGGAUUUACUGGGCGUAAAGGGCGUGUAGGCGGUCUUGCAAGUCAGAAGUGAAAUUCCUGAGCUCAACUCGGGCGCUGCUUCUGAAACUGCAGGACUUGAGUGCUGGAGGGGAUAGCGGAAUUCCUAGUGGAGCGGUAAAAUGCGCAGAUAUUAGGAAGAACACCGGUGGCGAAGGCGGGUAGCUGGACAGUAACUGACGCUGAGGCGCGAAAGCGUGGGGAGCAAACAGGAUUAGAUACCCUGGUAGUCCACGCCGUAAACGAUGAGCACUAAGUGUCGGAUGAAUUUUCGGCGCUGCAGUUAACACAAUAAGUGCUCCGCCUGGGGAGUACGGACGCAAGACUGAAACUUAAAGGAAUUGGCGGGG